CUAUGCUAUGCGGGGAGGUAGCGGUGCCCUGAAUCUGCAAUCCGCUAUAGCAGGGCUGAAUUCCUAGGGUGCGGCGUGUUUCUUUUGAGGUCCGGCCCAUGUAAGUGGUGUUGAAGAUUAGGUCCUGAGCAACUUGAAUUUAUCAAACCCCGUCAGGUCUGGAAAGAAGCAGCGGCAGAUAAAUCUUCAGGUGUGACGCAGGACAGCCUAAUUGGAGCUAACUGCUCGGGUAACGCUUGGGAGAGCGCGUCAAACCUCAGGUGCAUAG
Molecule: signal recognition particle RNA, 268 nt
Filed under: Candidatus Poribacteria bacterium
Lineage: Bacteria; Candidatus Poribacteria
Description: signal recognition particle sRNA large type
Rfam family: Bacterial large signal recognition particle RNA
About the family: The signal recognition particle (SRP) is a universally conserved ribonucleoprotein involved in the co-translational targeting of proteins to membranes. Archaeal SRP consists of a 7S RNA and homologues of the eukaryotic SRP19 and SRP54 proteins.
Source: RNAcentral